This 497-nucleotide ribosomal RNA is filed under the name uncultured bacterium. Its description in RNAcentral is "partial 16S ribosomal RNA". It matches the Rfam family "Bacterial small subunit ribosomal RNA", at positions 28 to 507 of the family's 1533-position model. The record is from RNAcentral.
GAUGAACGCUGGCGGCGUGCCUAAUACAUGCAAGUCGAGCGAACGGACGAGAAGCUUGCUUUUCUGAUGUUAGCGGCGGACGGGUGAGUAACACGUGGAUAACCUACCUAUAAGACUGGGAUAACUUCGGGAAACCGGAGCUAAUACCGGAUAAUAUUUUGAACCGCAUGGUUCAAAAGUGAAAGACGGUCUUGCUGCCACUUAUAGAUGGAUCCGCGCUGCAUUAGAUAGUUGGUAAGGUAACGGCUUACCAAGGCAACGAUGCAUAGCCGACCUGAGAGGGUGAUCGGCCACACUGGAACUGAGACACGGUCCAGACUCCUACGGGAGGCAGCAGUAGGGAAUCUUCCGCAAUGGGCGAAAGCCUGACGGAGCAACGCCGCGUGAGUGAUGAAGGUCUUCGGAUCGUAAAACUCUGUUAUUAGGGAAGAACAUAUGUGUAAGUAACUGUGCACAUCUUGACGGUACCUAAUCAGAAAGCCACGGCUAACUACGUG